Small nuclear RNA from Psammomys obesus (fat sand rat), 104 nucleotides. NCBI's taxonomy places the organism in Eukaryota, Metazoa, Chordata, Mammalia, Rodentia, Muridae. The record is from RefSeq and is a predicted model, not a curated record.
GUGCCCACUUUGUCAGUACAUAUACUAAAACUGGAACAAGACAGAGAUUAGCAAGCUCCCUGAACAAGGAAGACACGAAAACUGAAGAUUGUUCCAUAUUUUUU